This 71-nucleotide transfer RNA is filed under the name Loxodonta africana (African savanna elephant). It matches the Rfam family "tRNA". From Rfam's summary of the family: Transfer RNA (tRNA) molecules are approximately 80 nucleotides in length. Their secondary structure includes four short double-helical elements and three loops (D, anti-codon, and T loops). Further hydrogen bonds mediate the characteristic L-shaped molecular structure. tRNAs have two regions of fundamental functional importance: the anti-codon, which is responsible for specific mRNA codon recognition, and the 3' end, to which the tRNAs corresponding amino acid is attached (by aminoacyl-tRNA synthetases). tRNAs cope with the degeneracy of the genetic code in two manners: having more than one tRNA (with a specific anti-codon) for a particular amino acid; and 'wobble' base-pairing, i.e. permitting non-standard base-pairing at the 3rd anti-codon position. The record is from Rfam by way of RNAcentral. Lineage: Eukaryota; Metazoa; Chordata; Mammalia; Proboscidea; Elephantidae.
AUAGUGGUGGUUUAGUGGUAGAAUUCUCACCUUCCAUGUGGGAGACCCAGGUUCGAUUCCUGGCCAAUGCA